Molecule: ribosomal RNA, 800 nt
Filed under: Novosphingobium sp.
Lineage: Bacteria; Pseudomonadati; Pseudomonadota; Alphaproteobacteria; Sphingomonadales; Sphingomonadaceae
Description: bacterial SSU rRNA
Rfam family: Bacterial small subunit ribosomal RNA
Source: RNAcentral
CACAUGCAAGUCGAACGAACCCUUCGGGGUUAGUGGCGCACGGGUGCGUAACACGUGGGAAUCUGCCUCUUGGUUCGGAAUAACAGUGAGAAAUUACUGCUAAUACCGGAUGAUGACUUCGGUCCAAAGAUUUAUCGCCAAGAGAUGAGCCCGCGCAGGAUUAGGUAGUUGGUGGGGUAAAGGCCUACCAAGCCGACGAUCCUUAGCUGGUCUGAGAGGAUGAUCAGCCACACUGGGACUGAGACACGGCCCAGACUCCUACGGGAGGCAGCAGUGGGGAAUAUUGGACAAUGGGCGAAAGCCUGAUCCAGCAAUGCCGCGUGAGUGAUGAAGGCCUUAGGGUUGUAAAGCUCUUUUACCAGGGAUGAUAAUGACAGUACCUGGAGAAUAAGCUCCGGCUAACUCCGUGCCAGCAGCCGCGGUAAUACGGAGGGAGCUAGCGUUGUUCGGAAUUACUGGGCGUAAAGCGCGCGUAGGCGGUUACUCAAGUCAGAGGUGAAAGCCCGGAGCUCAACUCCGGAACUGCCUUUGAAACUAGGUGACUAGAAUCUUGGAGAGGUCAGUGGAAUUCCGAGUGUAGAGGUGAAAUUCGUAGAUAUUCGGAAGAACACCAGUGGCGAAGGCGACUGACUGGACAAGUAUUGACGCUGAGGUGCGAAAGUGUGGGGAGCAAACAGGAUUAGAUACCCUGGUAGUCCACACCGUAAACGAUGAUAACUAGCUGUCCGGGUUCUUGGAAUUUGGGUGGCGCAGCUAACGCAUUAAGUUAUCCGCCUGGGGAGUACGGUCGCAAGAUUAAA